This 468-nucleotide ribosomal RNA is filed under the name uncultured bacterium. RNAcentral's name for it is "partial 16S ribosomal RNA". It matches the Rfam family "Bacterial small subunit ribosomal RNA", at positions 28 to 507 of the family's 1533-position model. The record is from RNAcentral.
GACGAACGCUGGCGGCGUGCUUAACACAUGCAAGUCGAACGGAAAGGCCCUGCUUUUGUGGGGUGCUCGAGUGGCGAACGGGUGAGUAACACGUGAGUAACCUGCCCUUGACUUUGGGAUAACUUCAGGAAACUGGGGCUAAUACCGGAUAGGAGCUCCUGCUGCAUGGUGGGGGUUGGAAAGUUUCGGCGGUUGGGGAUGGACUCGCGGCUUAUCAGCUUGUUGGUGGGGUAGUGGCUUACCAAGGCUUUGACGGGUAGCCGGCCUGAGAGGGUGACCGGGCACAUUGGGACUGAGAUACGGCGCAGACUCGUACGGGAGGCAGCAGUGGGGAAUAUGGCACAAUGGGCGGAAGCCUGAUGCAGCAACGCCGCGUGCGGGAUGACGGCCUUCGGGUUGUAAACCGCUUUCGCCUGUGACGAAGCGUGAGUGACGGUAAUGGGUGAAGAAGCACCGGCUAACUACGUG